CCUACGGGAGGCAGCAGUGGGGGAUAUUGCACAAUGGGGGGAACCCUGAUGCAGCGACGCCGCGUGGGUGAAGGAGGGUUUCGGCGUGUAAAGCCCUUUCGGCCGGGAAGAAGAUGACGGUACCUGACCAAGAAGCCCCGGCUAACUACGUGCCAGCAGCCGCGGUAAUAAGUAGGGGGGAAGCGUUAUCCGGAAGUACUGGGUGUUAAGGGGGCGUAGACGGCGGUGCAAGCUAGGAGUGAAAGUCUGGGGCCCAACCCCGGGACUGCACUUGAAACUGCAUGGCUGGAGUACAGGAGGGGCAGGCGGAAUUCCUAGUGUAGCGGUGAAAUGCGUAGAUAUUAGGAGGAACACCGGUGGCGAAGGCGGCCUGCUGGACUGUGACUGACGUUGAGGCCCGAAGGCGUGGGGAGCAAACAGGAUUAGAUACCCCAGUAGUC
Molecule: ribosomal RNA, 440 nt
Filed under: uncultured bacterium
Lineage: Bacteria
Description: partial 16S ribosomal RNA
Rfam family: Bacterial small subunit ribosomal RNA
Source: RNAcentral